CCCUUAGACGUUCUGGGCCGCACGCGCGCUACACUGACGAAGGCAACGAGCUUUCCUUUACCGAAAGGUACGGGUAAUCUUUUGAAACUUCGUCGUGCUGGGGAUAGAUCCUUGCAAUUUUUGAUCUUAAACGAGGAAUGCCUAGUAAGCGCAAGUCAUCAACUUGCGUUGAUUACGUCCCUGCCCUCUGUACACACCGCCCGUCGCUACUACCGAUUGAAUGGUUUAGUGAGGCCUUCGGAUCCGCGACUCGUUUGUGGAGAAGUUGGACAAACUCAGUCAUUUAGAGGAAGUAAAAGUCGUAACA
RNAcentral lists this ribosomal RNA (307 nucleotides) under uncultured eukaryote. RNAcentral describes it as "partial 18S ribosomal RNA". It matches the Rfam family "Eukaryotic small subunit ribosomal RNA", at positions 1470 to 1796 of the family's 1831-position model. The record is from RNAcentral.